AUUGCUGGUUCAUUUUGCAUG
RNAcentral lists this unclassified non-coding RNA (21 nucleotides) under Chlamydomonas reinhardtii. RNAcentral describes it as "small RNA Cre_0813". The record is from RNAcentral. Lineage: Eukaryota; Viridiplantae; Chlorophyta; Chlorophyceae; Chlamydomonadales; Chlamydomonadaceae.